This is a long non-coding RNA of Cynoglossus semilaevis (tongue sole), 598 nucleotides long. RefSeq lists it as uncharacterized. The transcript is spliced from 3 exons. The record is from RefSeq and is a predicted model, not a curated record. NCBI's taxonomy places the organism in Eukaryota, Metazoa, Chordata, Actinopteri, Pleuronectiformes, Cynoglossidae.
AUCUAGAAUUUUCUUCACCUCACUGUCUGACACAUUCUUUUAGCUGAGUGUGUGAAGGUCAGAGAGGCAGGAACCUGGUACCCGAAACAUGAGUCAGUCCAUAAGCUCAGGCUGUGGUUCACCUCCCUCCCUCAGAUGGAGUAUCAGCAUCAAACCUCCCACAAAAGUUCAUCUGUUUCCAGAUUACUGAAUGAUGACCCAUUGUUCUGGUGAAAGUCUUACACAAAGGAAUUCGCUGACUCAGCUCAGGCUUAAGGCUAGGUGCCAGUAUCGUAUGUUCAGGUGAUGUCACAGGUUAAAUGUUGAACACCUAGUGGUCACUUCUGCUCAUUUAGUUGGAUUUAUUUACGAGAACAAUGAGUCACUUCAUCAUGUUGUGUUUUCUUUUUCUCUGUUUGUAUGUCACCCAGUGCGUGCUCAUUGUUGAGGCCAUCGUUGACACAGGAAAGACCAUGAAGGCCCUUCUGAAGCAUGUGGAGACCUUUGAACCCAAGAUGGUCAAGGUUGCGGGUUUGCUGGUGAAGAGGGUUCCCAACAUGGACCAACAUUUGACAGACUGUAAGUAGUACUACUACUUUUUGGAAAUCAUUCAUUAUGA